Molecule: ribosomal RNA, 465 nt
Filed under: uncultured bacterium
Lineage: Bacteria
Description: partial 16S ribosomal RNA
Rfam family: Bacterial small subunit ribosomal RNA
Source: RNAcentral
GACGAACGCUGGCGGCGUGCUUAACACAUGCAAGUCGAACGGAAAGGCCCUGCUUGCAGGGUACUCGAGUGGCGAACGGGUGAGUAACACGUGGGUGAUCUGCCCUGCACUUCGGGAUAAGCCUGGGAAACUGGGUCUAAUACCGGAUAGGAGCCAUUUUUAGUGUGAUGGUUGGAAAGUUUUUUCGGUGUAGGAUGAGCUCGCGGCCUAUCAGCUUGUUGGUGGGGUAAUGGCCUACCAAGGCGGCGACGGGUAGCCGGCCUGAGAGGGUGGACGGCCACAUUGGGACUGAGAUACGGCCCAGACUCCUACGGGAGGCAGCAGUGGGGAAUAUUGCACAAUGGGCGAAAGCCUGAUGCAGCGACGCCGCGUGGGGGAUGACGGCCUUCGGGUUGUAAACUCCUUUCGCUAGGGACGAAGCUUUUUGUGACGGUACCUAGAUAAGAAGCACCGGCUAACUACGUG